UCAGCCGCCGCGGUAAGACGUAGGUGGCGAGCGUUGUCCGGAAUUACUGGGCGUAAAGGGCGUGUAGGCGGCCUAUUAAGUCAGGCGUGAAACCACAGGGCUUAACCCUGUAACUGCGUUUGAAACUGACGGGCUUGAGGACAGGAGAGGGAAGCGGAACUCCGUGUGUAGCGGUGAAAUGCGUAGAUAUACGGAAGAACACCAGUGGCGAAGGCGGCUUCCUGGACUGUCCCUGACGCUGAGGCGCGAAAGCCAGGGGAGCGAACGGGAUUAGAUACCCCGGUAGUCCUGGCUGUAAACGAUGGGUACUAGGUGUGGGGGGUAUCGACCCCCCCCGUGCCGGAGUUAACACAAUAAGUACCCCGCCUGGGGAGUACGGCCGCAAGGUUGAAACUCAAAGAAAUUGACGGC
Molecule: ribosomal RNA, 411 nt
Filed under: uncultured bacterium
Lineage: Bacteria
Description: bacterial SSU rRNA
Rfam family: Bacterial small subunit ribosomal RNA
Source: RNAcentral